AACUCCCCUUCCCGGGGAACUCACACUUUAGAAAAGAACCGGCGGCGCUGAGAAAGCGGGCUGUUUCCUGUCCUCCUAGGGACCGAGGCGGCAGCCGCGGCAGCUCCGGCGCGUUGCUGAGCAAGAAGCGGGGCUGGGACCGCCAAGCCGGGCGGCCACCCGGGUCUCUUCCGCGCGGCCGGAGCAGAGGCGGCAGCGGCGGCCCGGCUUACCUCCUCUUUUCCUCUUCCUGGGUCUCUUCAGGCUGGGUCUUCUGCCCGUCCCGGGCCACUUCUCCCCGACAGUCCCGUUUGGGAGGCUCCGGAUUUUUGUUUUAUAAAGUUUCUUCUGGGCGGAGGCUGCGGCCGGCCCCCCGGGUCCCCCCCGGCCCCGCCGCCCUCGGGGCUGGGGCAGGGAGGGGGCUCUAAGAACUCCUCCCGGAGUCCUUGCCGAGGAGCCGGGGGGCCGGCGACGGGCCGAGAACGGAGACCCCCCGAGGGGGCAGAGGGGCGGGGGAGGGAAGGGAAGGACGGCGGCGUCGGUCCCGCUGUCCCCGCCGCCCCGGCCGCCGCUUCACAUCGGGGUCCCCGCCCCCCCAGCCGGGGGGCGUCUGCCCGGCGUGGAGCCCCGGCUCAUGCACUCCGCGGCGAGAUGCUACGGCCCCGGGCGGGUGGCCGAGGCGGCGGCGAGGUGGGGGACCCGGCCGGCUCCGCUCGGCGCCGCCCCCGCUCCCGGCUCCCGCAUGUGUCGCUGCGGCUGGGACCCCCGCCCUCCACCUUGGGGGUCCCUCGCCCCGCGCCCCGGGACCAACAGAAGCUCCGGCCCCUCCUCAGCGUCCUCUCCCCGCGGAGCAGCGGACUAGUCCCGGUCCGAGGUAGCCACCUCCCUGCCCCCCAGCCACCGGCUCCGGCUCGGGCUCCGGCGUGUGCAGCCGCGGCUGCCGGCCGGGAAGGUGAGGGGGGGAGAAGAGAGGUGGCCGCGGCUCCCGCCGGCCCAGGUCAGGGCAGAGGUCCUGGCGGCGGCCGGUGCACGGGCGCUGGGUCUCUCAGAUGCUCCCUGGCUCUCACGCUCGCGGCGGCGGCGGCGGCGGUAGCGCCCGGAGCUCAGCUCGCUGUCUCCCUCGCUUAGUGCGGGGCUCUCGCCUCACUCCAGAGAGAGGGGCGGGAGGAAAACGGCGCGCAACAAUGACGCAAGUCACCUAGCAACCGCUCUCUCCCCCACCCCCUCCCUUCUCUCUCCGCUCGGAGGCUCACUCCCCUAGUCUUUUUUCACCUUUCCGACCACCCCGCCCUAGGCGCCUCUGGCGCGCUCUGAUGACGCUCCAAGGGAAGAGGAAGUCGGGCUCGGCGAGCGGGUGGGUGCGCCUCGGGCCGCGGACUCGGUGUCGCUGCCGCCGCCUCUACGGCCGCGUCAGAACAGAAGAGAGGAAGGGGAGGAGCCGCGUGGAGCCUAAGCUGCCGCCUGAGCUUACCCCUGACCCGAGGGCGGUGGAGAGAGCUUGCUCUGUAGCGGUUUCCUUCAGAGCAGGUGGUGACUGCUCCUUGGGGAGCAAGGAGGAGGCCCAGGCCGCGCGGCCAUGCUCGGGCGCGCACCACCCGAAGCCAGUCUAUCACUUGACCCCUGGCCUCUUCAGAGAAUAACCAUACUUCCUCAACAUCUGAAAGAAGAACUACAAAAUAAAGCAGUAGUGUCGUAUCAAAUGAUGCAGCAAAGGCCCUUGGAUUUGGUGAUGAGCUCCUUAAUAAUAUCAUAGUGCUGUUAAAAAUGUUGGAAGAUACCAGAGCUUGAUGACAUUGUUAAAUACAAGAACACAUGAGUCUAGAAAACUUAUCAACUGUUUGAUGAGAUUGUCCC
Long non-coding RNA from Bos taurus (domestic cattle), 1833 nucleotides. The record is from Ensembl. NCBI's taxonomy places the organism in Eukaryota, Metazoa, Chordata, Mammalia, Artiodactyla, Bovidae.